CAGCAGUGGGGAAUAUUGCACAAUGGGGGAAACCCUGAUGCAGCAACGCCGCGUGAGUGAUGACGGUCUUCGGAUUGUAAAGCUCUGUCUUUAGGGACGAUAAUGACGGUACCUAAGGAGGAAGCCACGGCUAACUACGUGCCAGCAGCCGCGGUAAUACGUAGGUGGCAAGCGUUGUCCGGAUUUACUGGGCGUAAAGGGAGCGUAGGUGGAUAUUUAAGUGGGAUGUGAAAUACCCGGGCUUAACCUGGGUGCUGCAUUCCAAACUGGAUAUCUAGAGUGCAGGAGAGGAAAGGAGAAUUCCUAGUGUAGCGGUGAAAUGCGUAGAGAUUAGGAAGAAUACCAGUGGCGAAGGCGCCUUUCUGGACUGUAACUGACACUGAGGCUCGAAAGCGUGGGGAGCAAACAGGAUUAGA
Molecule: ribosomal RNA, 416 nt
Filed under: uncultured Clostridium sp.
Lineage: Bacteria; Bacillati; Bacillota; Clostridia; Eubacteriales; Clostridiaceae
Description: bacterial SSU rRNA
Rfam family: Bacterial small subunit ribosomal RNA
Source: RNAcentral